AGCGGCGGACGGGUGAGUAACGCGUAGGAAUCUACCUAGUAGAAGGGGAUAGCCCGGGGAAACCCGGAUUAAUACCGUAUACCUCCUUCGGGAGAAAGAAGGCCUCUCUUUGAAGCUUUCGCUAUUAGAUGAGCCUGCGUAAGAUUAGCUUGUUGGUGAGGUAAAGGCUCACCAAGGCGACGAUCUUUAGCUGGUCUGAGAGGACGAUCAGCCACAUUGGGACUGAGACACGGCCCAGACUCCUACGGGAGGCAGCAGUGGGGAAUAUUGGACAAUGGGCGCAAGCCUGAUCCAGCCAUACCGCGAGUGUGAAGAAGGCCUUCGGGUUGUAAAGCACUUUAAGCAGGGAGAAAAAGUUAUAAGUUAAUACCUUAUAACCGUGAUGUUACCUGCAGAAUAAGCACCGGCUAAUUCCGUGCCAGCAGCCGCGGUAAUACGGAAGGUGCAAGCGUUAAUCGGAAUUACUGGGCGUAAAGCGCGCGUAGGUGGUUUGUUAAGUUGGAUGUGAAAGCCCUGGGCUCAACCUAGGAACUGCAUCCAAAACUAACUCACUAGAGUACGAUAGAGGGAGGUAGAAUUCAUAGUGUAGCGGUGGAAUGCGUAGAUAUUAUGAAGAAUACCAGUGGCGAUGGCGGCCUCCUGGAUCUGUACUGACACUGAGGUGCGAAAGCGUGGGUAGCGAACAGGAUUAGAUACCCUGGUAGUCCACGCCGUAAACGAUGACAACUAGCUGUUGGAAGACAAUGUCUUUCAGUGGCGCAGCUAACGUUUUAAGUUGUCCGCCUGGGGAGUA
Molecule: ribosomal RNA, 793 nt
Filed under: uncultured marine bacterium
Lineage: Bacteria
Description: bacterial SSU rRNA
Rfam family: Bacterial small subunit ribosomal RNA
Source: RNAcentral